UACGUAGGGUGCGAGCGUUAAUCGGAAUUACUGGGCGUAAAGCGUGCGCAGGCGGCGCGUUAAGACAGGUGUGAAAGCCCCGAGCUUAACUUGGGAAUUGCGCUUGUGACUGGCGUGCUGGAGUGUGGCAGAGGGAGGUGGAAUUCCACGUGUAGCAGUGAAAUGCGUAGAGAUGUGGAGGAACACCGAUGGCGAAGGCAGCCUCCUGGGCCAGCACUGACGCUCAUGCACGAAGCGUGGGGAGCAAACAGG
RNAcentral lists this ribosomal RNA (252 nucleotides) under uncultured bacterium. RNAcentral describes it as "partial 16S ribosomal RNA". It matches the Rfam family "Bacterial small subunit ribosomal RNA", at positions 524 to 776 of the family's 1533-position model. The record is from RNAcentral.